This 221-nucleotide ribosomal RNA is filed under the name uncultured bacterium. RNAcentral's name for it is "partial 16S ribosomal RNA". It matches the Rfam family "Bacterial small subunit ribosomal RNA", at positions 794 to 1014 of the family's 1533-position model. The record is from RNAcentral.
UCCACGCCGUAAACGAUGUCUACUAGCCGUUGGGAGACUUGAUUUCUUAGUGGCGCAGCUAACGCAAUAAGUAGACCGCCUGGGGAGUACGGCCGCAAGGUUAAAACUCAAAUGAAUUGACGGGGGCCCGCACAAGCGGUGGAGCAUGUGGUUUAAUUCGAUGCAACGCGAAGAACCUUACCAGGUCUUGACAUCCUGCGAAUUUUCCAGAGAUAGAUUAG